RNAcentral lists this ribosomal RNA (694 nucleotides) under Salmonella enterica. Its description in RNAcentral is "bacterial SSU rRNA". It matches the Rfam family "Bacterial small subunit ribosomal RNA", at positions 839 to 1533 of the family's 1533-position model. The record is from RNAcentral. Lineage: Bacteria; Pseudomonadati; Pseudomonadota; Gammaproteobacteria; Enterobacterales; Enterobacteriaceae.
GUGGCUUCCGGAGCUAACGCGUUAAGUAGACCGCCUGGGGAGUACGGCCGCAAGGUUAAAACUCAAAUGAAUUGACGGGGGCCCGCACAAGCGGUGGAGCAUGUGGUUUAAUUCGAUGCAACGCGAAGAACCUUACCUGGUCUUGACAUCCACAGAACUUUCCAGAGAUGGACUGGUGCCUUCGGGAACUGUGAGACAGGUGCUGCAUGGCUGUCGUCAGCUCGUGUUGUGAAAUGUUGGGUUAAGUCCCGCAACGAGCGCAACCCUUAUCCUUUGUUGCCAGCGGUUAGGUCGGGAACUCAAAGGAGACUGCCAGUGAUAAACUGGAGGAAGGUGGGGAUGACGUCAAGUCAUCAUGGCCCUUACGACCAGGGCUACACACGUGCUACAAUGGCGCAUACAAAGAGAAGCGACCUCGCGAGAGCAAGCGGACCUCAUAAAGUGCGUCGUAGUCCGGAUUGGAGUCUGCAACUCGACUCCAUGAAGUCGGAAUCGCUAGUAAUCGUGGAUCAGAAUGCCACGGUGAAUACGUUCCCGGGCCUUGUACACACCGCCCGUCACACCAUGGGAGUGGGUUGCAAAAGAAGUAGGUAGCUUAACCUUCGGGAGGGCGCUUACCACUUUGUGAUUCAUGACUGGGGUGAAGUCGUAACAAGGUAACCGUAGGGGAACCUGCGGUUGGAUCACCUCCUUA